UAGUCCACGCCGUAAACGAUGCACACUAGGUCGGGGAGGUUUGACGCCCUCCUGGCCGAAGCAAAAGUGUUUAGUGUGCCGCCUGGGGAGUACGGUCGCAAGGCUAAAACUCAAAGGAAUUGACGGGGGCUCACACAAGCGGUGGAGCAUGUGGCUUAAUUCGAAGCAACGCGAAGAACCUUAUCCAGGGUUUGACAUCCCGGGAUUAAACCCGUCGAAAGACGGUCUACACCCUUUGGGUGGAACGGUGACAGGUGCUGCAUGGCUGUCGUCAGCUCGUGCUGUGAAGUGUCGGGUUAAGUCCCUUAACGAGCGCAACCCCUAUCGUUAGUUGCUAACAGGUAAUGCUGAGGACUCUAGCGAGACUGCCGGUGUCAAACCGGAGGAAGGUGGGGAUGGACGUCAAGUCCUCAUGGCCUUUAUGCCCUGGGCUGCACACGUGCUACAAUGGUAGGUACAGAACGAUGCAAACCGCGAGGUCGAGCAAAUCGCUAAAACCUGCCCCAGUUCGGAUUGGAGG
This 520-nucleotide ribosomal RNA is filed under the name uncultured bacterium. RNAcentral's name for it is "bacterial SSU rRNA". It matches the Rfam family "Bacterial small subunit ribosomal RNA", at positions 791 to 1304 of the family's 1533-position model. The record is from RNAcentral.